RNAcentral lists this ribosomal RNA (406 nucleotides) under uncultured bacterium. RNAcentral's name for it is "partial 16S ribosomal RNA". It matches the Rfam family "Bacterial small subunit ribosomal RNA", at positions 29 to 526 of the family's 1533-position model. The record is from RNAcentral.
AUUGAACGCUGGCGGCAGGCCUAACACAUGCAAGUCGAACGAGCGGCGGACGGGUGAGUAAUGUCUGGGAAACUGCCUGAUGGAGGGGGAUAACUAAGGGAAAAGGUAGCUAAUACCGCAUACCAUCGGAUGUGCCCAGAUGGGUUUGGCUAGUAGGUGGGGUAAAGGCUCACCUGGGGGACGAUCCCUAGCGGGUCUGAGAGGAUGAGCAGCCACACUGGAACGGUGACACGGUCCAGACGCCUACGUGAGGCAGCAGUGGGGAAUAUUUGACAAUUGGCGCAAGCCUGAUGCAGCCAUGCCGCGUGUAUGAAGAAGGCCUUAGGGUUGUAAAGUACUGUCAGCGGGGAGGCGUUACCCGCAGAAGAAGCACCGGCUAACUCCGUGCCAGCAGCCGCGGUAAUAC